GCCUACGCUCGCAGAGAUAUAAGACUCGGCUACUAACCGAGCGGUCGGGGGUUCGGACCCACCCGUAGGCACCA
This 74-nucleotide transfer RNA is filed under the name Escherichia coli. RNAcentral's name for it is "tRNA-Ser". The record is from RNAcentral. Lineage: Bacteria; Pseudomonadati; Pseudomonadota; Gammaproteobacteria; Enterobacterales; Enterobacteriaceae.